UCCCGGUGGGAAACGAAGUUUCUUCUCUUUUCCGUUAACAGUUUAAGGAUCUCAUUCAAACAACCGACGGCUUUCUGAGGCUGCCUGCUCCACUUCUUUCCCGCUGCGCUCACGACAACCCUGCAGGCUUCUUAAUGACCCAGGCUGAAAAAUGCAACACAGCAGUCAAAGUGGAUGAAUGCGGCACCCUUCCUGAACUCAGCAUGCCGUUUUACACCAAUUUUAGCAUUUUGGCGGUACCCAAUUCGAGCCAAACAGUUAACCUCACCAUCCAGUCCAUCACAAUUCAGACGCCAGAGGGGCUGCGCACUCGCCUGGCCAACGCAGACGUUGUGUUGCUCCCUGCAUUAAAUAAUCAGUCGUGCAGCAACGUCAUUCUUGAGGUAGGCAGCUCUCACCAUUUCAUGCAGGGACGACAAACUUUUGCACUUAAUCCCAGAGAAAACGCGGAAUGUUUCACAGUGUCUUCACUACCUCGGUUAAAGCUCUGUGCUAAACCAAGAUUUAUGUCUGGCAGGUCCAACCUUUUGGCUUGCUUGGACUGCCUUGAGUGA
RNAcentral lists this long non-coding RNA (554 nucleotides) under Pseudonaja textilis. RNAcentral describes it as "lncRNA (ENSPTXG00000015317.1)". Lineage: Eukaryota; Metazoa; Chordata; Lepidosauria; Squamata; Elapidae. The record is from RNAcentral.